GACGAACGCUGGCGGCGUGCUUAACACAUGCAAGUCGAACGGUGACCCAGGGCUUGCCCUGGUGAUCAGUGGCGAACGGGUGAGUAACACGUGGGCAACCUGCCCCUGACUUCGGGAUAACUCCUCGAAGAGGAGCUAAUACCGGAUACGACCACUUCGGACAUCCGAUGGUGGUGGAAAGUUCUUCGGUCAGGGAUGGGCCCGCGGCCUAUCAGCUAGUUGGUGGGGUAAUGGCCUACCAAGGCGACGACGGGUAGCCGGCCUGAGAGGGCGACCGGCCACACUGGGACUGAGACACGGCCCAGACUCCUACGGGAGGCAGCAGUGGGGAAUAUUGCGCAAUGGGCGAAAGCCUGACGCAGCGACGCCGCGUGAGGGAUGAAGGCCUUCGGUUGUAAACCUACUUUCAGCAGGGACGAAGCGAAAGUGACGGUACCUGCAGAAGAAGACACCGGCGUAACUACGUGCCAGCAGCCGC
This 478-nucleotide ribosomal RNA is filed under the name uncultured bacterium. RNAcentral's name for it is "bacterial SSU rRNA". It matches the Rfam family "Bacterial small subunit ribosomal RNA", at positions 28 to 518 of the family's 1533-position model. The record is from RNAcentral.